RNAcentral lists this ribosomal RNA (301 nucleotides) under uncultured bacterium. Its description in RNAcentral is "partial 16S ribosomal RNA". It matches the Rfam family "Bacterial small subunit ribosomal RNA", at positions 509 to 807 of the family's 1533-position model. The record is from RNAcentral.
CAGUAGCCGCGGUAAUACGUAGGGUGCAAGCGUUGUCCGGAAUUAUUGGGCGUAAAGAGCUCGUAGGCGGUUUGUCGCGUCUGCUGUGAAAUCCCGAGGCUCAACCUCGGGCUUGCAGUGGGUACGGGCAGACUAGAGUGCGGUAGGGGAGAUUGGAAUUCCUGGUGUAGCGGUGGAAUGCGCAGAUAUCAGGAGGAACACCGAUGGCGAAGGCAGAUCUCUGGGCCGUAACUGACGCUGAGGAGCGAAAGCGUGGGGAGCGAACAGGAUUAGAUACCCCAGUAGUCCCUGUCUCUUAUAC